RNAcentral lists this ribosomal RNA (510 nucleotides) under uncultured bacterium. RNAcentral describes it as "bacterial SSU rRNA". It matches the Rfam family "Bacterial small subunit ribosomal RNA", at positions 44 to 540 of the family's 1533-position model. The record is from RNAcentral.
CUGCUUUACACAUGCAGUCGAGCGGCAGCGCGGGAGCAACCCUGGUCGGCGAGCGGCGUCCCGGGUGAGUAAUGCAUCGGAGCGUGUCCCGUAGUGGGGGAUACGCCGCGAAAGCGGGCUAAAUACCGCAUAUGCUCUACGGAGAGAAAGUGGGGGACUCGCAAGGGCCUCACGCUAUGGGAGCGGCCGAUGUCCGAUUAGCUUGUUGGUGAGGUAAAGGCUUACCAAGGCGACGAUCGGUACUGGUCUGAGAGGAUGAUCAGCCACACUGGGACUGAGACACGGCCCAGACUCCUACGGGAGGCAGCAGUGGGGAAUUUUGGACAAUGGGGGCAACCCUGAUCCAGCCAUGCCGCGUGCGGGAAGAAGGCCUUCGGGUUGUAAACCAGCUUUUGGUCGGGAAGAAAACGGUCCGGGUUAAUAGCUUGGAUUUUUGACCGGUACUUGACAGGAAUAAGCAACCGGCUAACUACCGUGCCACAGCCGCGGUAAUACGUAGGGGUGCGAGCG